GCGCUCGCUCUCUGUCUCUGUCUCUCUCUUUCGCGCCUCAGCUCGGCGGCGUCCAUCCGUAUGAGGGGGGGGAGAGAGAUAGCGGAGACACGCACAAAUGUAGAAAAGGCGCCUACACACUGGGGUCUCCCGGGGCAAGUGUCGCUUCAGCGGUCUGUGUGGGUGAGCGGGGAGGUUCGGCGCUCGGGAGUUAUGGCGAGCCGUGAGAAGGGAUUUCCCUUCUUUCCCUCCACCCCCGUUUCUUUUGGGAACAAUGGUUCGCUCCGGCUCCUCCUGCCUGGGGCGGAGCUCUCGCAGGCGAAGCGGAGUGAUGUCAUUUUAGGAGGUUGGGGAGGGCGCCUCCGCUUCGAAGGUGCUCCGAGGGACGUUAGAGGAGCUGCUCCCCCCCCCCGGUCCCAUGUCUCGUGUUGGGAGGGGAAGCACGGGACAAAACAAUUAGCAAUUGUUUUAAUUGGCAAUGAAAUAAUAACUAAUAAAAUAUUUAAUUAUCACAGUGCGUGGGGUGCAUGGAUAUUAUUGUUGCAAUUAAUGGUCAUAAAUUAAUACUUAAUAAUCACAGUAAUUAUUGCAAUAGUUAUCACAGUGCGUAGGGUGCAUAGGAUAUUGUUACAAUUAAUAAUAGAAUAAGCAAAAAGAAUAAUAAAAAAUAAUCACAGUAAUUAUUACAAUAAUUAUCACAGUGCUUAGGGUGCAUAGGAUAUUAUUGUUACAAUUAAUGGUCAUGAAUUAAUAAAAUAGUCACAGUAAUUAUUGCAAUAAUUAUCACAGUGCAUAGGGUGCAUAGGAUAUUGUUACAAUUAAUAAUAAUAAAAUAAUUUAUAAUCACUGUAAUUAUUACAAUAAUUAUCACAGUGUGUAGGGUGUAUGCAGGAUCAAGCCAUAUGUACACGAGCCAUAAUUAUUAAAGCAAAAUGCUUGCGUAUGGCUUGAUCCUCUACACCUUAUGUAUCCUGUCUAAAGGAAGGGUAAAUAGGAUUACAGUUGUAAGGGAGGGGGGGCAGAAUCCCGGCUACAACCUUGUUCUUUUCCACUAGCACCCCCAGCUCAAACCCACUCCCUGAGGCGAAGGAAGUCAAAGGCAAGACCUCCGGCCUGAGAGCUGCUGUCUGUUCGAAUACAGAAGUCGUUCUGACUUAGGAAAUCCGUGGAAAGGGAAGAAAGUGCCCUGGAACUGUUCCUUCUCCGGCUGAUUGGAAGGAGAACAGCUAUUCGCCAUGAUGGCUAAAACUGAACUUAAAUGUACAGAAGAAGUAUAUCUUGGAAUACCAGAGGCUGAGAGAAAAAAUGAGGAACGGCAUAUCAUUUUCACAUUCUGCUUUGUUGGGCUGCUGUUUGAUUGCUUUUGGAAACAGAAUUCUUGAUUAGCUGGACUUUGGUGUCGUCUAUGAAGAUAAUUAUUAUAGAUCAGUGGUUCCCCCAGAAUUUUUCCUUCUGGACCACUUGAAGAUCGGUGAGGGGCCUUCGUUGAACACUUCUUUUUCUUUUGGCCUGUUGUGGCAAUUGUAACGCACAGUGCUAGGUGCUGAGCAAUUUUAAAUUGCAUUUAAAUUGCUUCAUUUAGUUCUUAUAUAUUAUGCUAUUGUAUUACAAUUUCAGGAAUUAAAAAUCAAUAGGAAUAUUUAACGCAAUGAAUGUGCCAUCUCCACAAAUCCAGACACACUGCAUACCACCUAAAUGUAACAAUUUGAGAACCCUGUAUAAAUCUUGUGUUCAAGUCGACCUGGAGUCAAAUCCCUGCUCAAAGAGGAAGCUCAUUCUCAGUUUUAGCUAGCUUCGCGGGCUUGUUGUGAAGCCAAAACGCUGUUCUGGGUUCAUUGAUAGAAGGGUGAAAUAAAAUGGAAUGAGCAAAUUAUUCCCUCAAAAGUAAUAGUAUCCAGUGUUGCCACUGAGCAUAUGUGGGAACCGCUUCAACUUUCUGCAUGAAAUCUCAUGAGUGAGUCUGCUGGGUGCAGCUGCCAAUACGUGCCGGAUUAAAUUUUAAAUGCUAUUUUGAACGCCAUUACAAAUUGCAAAGCCAUAGGUUUGUGCUGGCAUGUUUAAAAAACCUACACAUAACCAUGUGCAGCUGAACAUUGGCAUGAGUUGGCACUUAAUUUAAUGGUGGCCCUGCACCCUGAGAGAUACUGUGAGCUGUCCCCAAAACUCACAGGUCUUGCAGGAUGGAGCAACAAGUAGCUAAUUUCUUAACUAGUGUGAUUUAAGUAGUUAAAGAGAGUGUUGGACUAGGGUUGGAAAGACAUCAUGUAACCUCAGGGCAUGUACCAACAUAAUUUACCUCAGUGUGUUAUUGCAAAUAUAAAAGGAGGGGAGAAGGGAAGAACUUUGUCUGGUGCUCCAAGCUCCUUGAAGAAUGGGAGGGAUAAACAUAAUAAAUGAAUUAAAUACAUUUCUAAAAAGGGAGGUAUUGCUAUCAGGACUCAAACCUAUGAAGAAGCAUGUCUUUCCAAACCACAUGCCCCCCCCAAUAGUUUAUAGAUACUUAAGACAUGAGGAAAUUGCCUGCCUCAUAUCAUUAACCAGUUGAAACCCUUUGUGCUCCUCUGACUUUUAAGGGGAAAAAGACAACAAUCAAUAGUUUCUGCUGAAGAACAAUGCUUAGAAACAAAAUACUAUAUUCAGCUUUGAAAUAAUAAAGCAAAUUGUCUUUCUCCUGAGCGAAUUCAAAUGUAGAUUAAAAAGAGAACAGAUAUAAUAGUACUCACUUAACUGCUUUUCAGUUUUACUGAUGCUCUUGCCUGGAGGCAAAACCUUGUUAAUUUGAACAAAUAGUUUUGGGAAAAGUCAGUAGAUGUUGCUGUUGUUAAAAAAACAAUACUACUGAUGCAGCAAGGUUUGGAAUGUAUUGUAUUCUAAAAUAUUGUGCCAACAAAAGUAGGGUUGUAUAGCAGCUUUGAUUAAACAAGAUCCUCCUUGCAUUUUUCUAUUCUUAUUUACAUCUACCCUGAGUCUUGAAUGCUUCCUCCAUCUGCUUCUACUGCACUGUCACCAACAUGGGAAUAGUUGAGAGGAAAAGGAUGUUGAAAGCAAAAUGGUACUGAUCAGUGUCUGAGUGAUCAUGUUGUUUUUAUAGAACAAGAAACAAAAUUAUGUACUCUGACAUAUUACUGAUAAGAAUGGAAGCUUUUGCGUCGUAUAGAACUCUUGUCAGGUUGAAUGUAGAGAAUAAAGAAACUUAAGAGUCUGUGGAUUGUUAUCAAAUAAUCUUAUGCCAUUUUAAAUUUGCUAAUUUUUAAGAUGCCAAAAUUCUCUUUUUGCUUCAACUGUUUAACAUGACUACUCCCUGGGAAAUUGUUACAUGAGAAUAAAAAAA
This is a non-coding RNA of Podarcis muralis (Common wall lizard), 3310 nucleotides long. Lineage: Eukaryota; Metazoa; Chordata; Lepidosauria; Squamata; Lacertidae. The record is from RefSeq and is a predicted model, not a curated record.